RNAcentral lists this ribosomal RNA (253 nucleotides) under uncultured bacterium. RNAcentral's name for it is "partial 16S ribosomal RNA". It matches the Rfam family "Bacterial small subunit ribosomal RNA", at positions 524 to 776 of the family's 1533-position model. The record is from RNAcentral.
UACGGAGGGUGCAAGCGUUAUCCGGAUUCACUGGGUUUAAAGGGUGCGUAGGAGGGCAGGUAAGUCAGUGGUGAAAUCUCCAAGCUUAACUUGGAAACUGCCGUUGAUACUAUCUGUCUUGAAUACCGUGGAGGUGAGCGGAAUAUGUCAUGUAGCGGUGAAGUGCUUAGAUAUGACAUAGAACACCAAUUGCGAAGGCAGCUCGCUACACGAAUAUUGACUCUGAGGCACGAAAGCGUGGGGAUCAAACAGG